UACAGAGGGUGCAAGCGUUAAUCGGAAUUACUGGGCGUAAAGGGCGCGUAGGUGGUUGCGUAAGUGAGAUGUGAAAUCCCCGGGCUUAACCUGGGAACUGCGUCUUAUACUGCGUAGCUUGAGUACAAUAGAGGGUAGUGGAAUUUCCGGUGUAGCGGUGAAAUGCGUAGAUAUCGGAAGGAACACCAGUGGCGAAGGCGGCUACCUGGAUUGAUACUGACACUGAGGCGCGAGAGCGUGGGGAGCAAACAGG
Molecule: ribosomal RNA, 253 nt
Filed under: uncultured bacterium
Lineage: Bacteria
Description: partial 16S ribosomal RNA
Rfam family: Bacterial small subunit ribosomal RNA
Source: RNAcentral